CCUACGGGUGGCAGCAGUGGGGAAUAUUGGACAAUGGGCGAAAGCCUGAUCCAGCCAUGCCGCGUGUGUGAAGAAGGCCUUCGGGUUGUAAAGCACUUUCAGUGGGGAAGAAAGCCUUGGGGCUAAUACCCUCGAGGAAGGACAUCACCCACAGAAGAAGCACCGGCUAACUCCGUGCCAGCAGCCACGGUAAUACGGAGGGUGCGAGCGUUAAUCGGAAUUACUGGGCGUAAAGCGCGCGUAGGCGGUCUGAUAAGCCGGUUGUGAAAGCCCCGGGCUCAACCUGGGAACGGCAUCCGGAACUGUCAGGCUAGAGUGCAGGAGAGGAAGGUAGAAUUCCCGGUGUAGCGGUGAAAUGCGUAGAGAUCGGGAGGAAUACCAGUGGCGAAGGCGGCCUUCUGGACUGACACUGACGCUGAGGUGCGAAAGCGUGGGUAGCAAACAGGAUUAGAUACCCUUGUAGUC
Molecule: ribosomal RNA, 465 nt
Filed under: Vreelandella stevensii
Lineage: Bacteria; Pseudomonadati; Pseudomonadota; Gammaproteobacteria; Oceanospirillales; Halomonadaceae
Description: partial 16S ribosomal RNA
Rfam family: Bacterial small subunit ribosomal RNA
Source: RNAcentral